UUGUCUGGAUUUCAUGGGCGUAAAGGGUGUGUAGGCGGUUAAGUAAGAUAGUGGUGAAAUGCCGGGGCUCAACCUCGAAAUUGCCAUUAUGACUAUUUAGCUAGAAUGAUGCAGAGGAUAGCGGAAUACCCAGUGUAGAGGUGAAAUUCGUAGAUAUUGGGUAGAACACCAGAGGCGAAGGCGGCUAUCUGGGCAUUGAUUGACGCUGAGGCACGAAAGCAUGGGGAUCAAACAGGAUUAGAUACCCUGGUAGUCCAUGCUGUAAACGAUGAAUGCUAGUUGUUGGAGGAAUUCAGUGACGCAGUUAACACAAUAAGCAUUCCGCCUGGGGAGUACGGUCGCAAGAUUAAAACUCAAAGGAAUUGACGGGGACCCGCACAAGCGGUGGAGCAUGUGGUUUAAUUC
Molecule: ribosomal RNA, 405 nt
Filed under: uncultured bacterium
Lineage: Bacteria
Description: bacterial SSU rRNA
Rfam family: Bacterial small subunit ribosomal RNA
Source: RNAcentral